Non-coding RNA from Macaca mulatta (Rhesus monkey), 94 nucleotides. Lineage: Eukaryota; Metazoa; Chordata; Mammalia; Primates; Cercopithecidae. The record is from Rfam.
CCUUCGAUAGCUCAGCUGGUAGAGCGGAGGACUGUAGCCUGUAGAAACAUCUGUGGACAUCCUUAGGUCGCUGGUUCGAUUCCGGCUCGAAGGA